Molecule: ribosomal RNA, 513 nt
Filed under: uncultured soil bacterium
Lineage: Bacteria
Description: bacterial SSU rRNA
Rfam family: Bacterial small subunit ribosomal RNA
Source: RNAcentral
AGAUUGAACGCUGGCGGCAUGCCUAACACAUGCAAGUCGAACGGGAGUAGCAAUACUCUAGUGGCGGACGGGUGAGGAAUACGUAGGAAUUUGCCCUUAAGUGGGGGAUAACCCGGGGAAACCCGGAUUAAUACCGCAUGACCUCGAAAGAGCAAAGUGGGGGAUCGCAAGACCUCACGCUUUUGGAGAAGCCUACGUCGGAUUAGCUAGUUGGUGAGGUAAUGGCUCACCAAGGCGACGAUCCGUAACUGGUCUGAGAGGAUGAUCAGUCACACCGGAACUGAGACACGGUCCGGACUCCUACGGGAGGCAGCAGUGGGGAAUAUUGGACAAUGGGCGCAAGCCUGAUCCAGCAAUGCCGCGUGUGUGAAGAAGGCCUUCGGGUUGUAAAGGCUACUUUAAACGUUGGAAAGAAAAACUCGACUACUAACACAAGUGAGUCUUGACGGUACCGACAAGAAUAAGACAACCGGACUAACCUCGUCGCCGAGACAGCCGACGGUAAUACGUCGA